CAGGCAACAUUUCAUUUGUUGCAUUUCCAGUUUCCAAUACCAACUCACCUACAAAGAUUUUACCAAAAACCUUAGGACCAAUAAAUGUGAAUGUUGGACCCCAAAUGAUUAUAAGCACACCACAGAGACUAACCAGUUCAGGAAGUGUUCUGAUUGGGAGUCCAUAUACCCCUGCACCAGCAAUGGUUACUCAGACACACAUAGCAGAAGCUACUGGCUGGGUCCCUGGUGAUAGAAAACGGGCUAGAAAAUUUAUAGACUCUGAUUUUUCAGAAAGUAAACGAAGCAAAAAAGGAGAUAAAAAUGGGAAAGGCUUGAGACACUUUUCAAUGAAAGUGUGUGAGAAAGUUCAACGAAAAGGUACAACAUCGUACAAUGAAGUCGCUGAUGAGCUGGUGUCAGAGUUCACCAAUUCAAAUAACCAUUUGGCUGCUGAUUCGGCUUAUGAUCAGAAGAACAUUAGGCGAAGAGUUUAUGAUGCUUUAAAUGUGCUAAUGGCAAUGAACAUAAUUUC
RNAcentral lists this long non-coding RNA (514 nucleotides) under Homo sapiens (human). RNAcentral's name for it is "long non-coding RNA NONHSAT196358.1". The record is from RNAcentral. Lineage: Eukaryota; Metazoa; Chordata; Mammalia; Primates; Hominidae.